AAGGAUUAUAUUACAAUUUACUUCUACUUGAGAAAGUUGACGCAAGAUGGUGCGUGGAAAUAAUUAUAAUGAAGUUUCCAGAAAGAUGACGCUAGUGUAGCUAAAGCGAAAUUUGUAUUCAUGGCAGUACAUCCCGCGCUGUGUUAUUGACAUUCGAGAAAAAUACAGAACCACUAUACACUAUUUCCGAGCAAACCAACAUAUAAUACGUUAUAUAAGCUCAUUGGCGAUACCCUUUCGACAGCAUGAUGUUGUUUCAAGGAGAGAUAGAGCAGCUCUGUGUGUUUGCAUCGUAUGUCGCAUAGUCGGGCAAUGUUUCGGUGACAUAACCUGGAUGGUACAGUACAUAGCCACAUAACCAGUUUUAGAGGAUGACGCUCUGUUUACCAAUCAUCUUAGAGAAGACAUGGUUGUUUUGUUUGAUUAUAGUCCGAUAUCAUUCUCAAACAACGUAUCUCUAAUGCAAGAGACAAGAAACCAGACCAGGGCUUCCCCCGAAGAGAGGAAUUUAUCUUUUUAAGCCCCCAAAAAGAUGCAAGACUCCGUACGAGCAGAAACCAAUUUGAAGACUCCAUUUCGGAAGAGCACGCUUUUAGGUCAAGUGGACUCGGACACCGGAAGCUGAGCGGGUUAUCUUCGUUAUCUGGAGGGAUAAGACGAAGAUUAAGUCGAUACAUGUGGAAACUUUAUGAUCGUAUUUUGGAACUUAGGAUUUUGGAACGAGUUUGGUUUAAUUAUUUAAAAAUCUUUGCCACUAAUGUUAUCGAAAUCUUGUCAAUCAUCAAUAUUAUUUAAUUCGUAUGCUUUUUAGGGUAUUUUCAUCCCAGAUCUAGUUAUUUUUCUAUCUAGUUAAAAAAUUCUUUGAGUUUAAAAGAGACGAAGACUUGAAAGAUGGUUUCACGUUUCAUUUCAAACAAAUUUAAGGAGAUUAUUGAUAGUUUGAGGAUGAUUGAGAGUGAACAAUAUCUGAAUAUCUCACAGAUAAGAAAAUUAUACGAUUUAAUAAGUUUCUUUUGAAUAUGUUGAGAUGAUUUGAGAACAAUAAUAUGUAUUUUUUGAACAAUGGUAAGAUAAUUUAUUUAAAUUCGGAACGUAUUAUAUUUGCGAAUUUCUACACGUCCAUUAUGAGCCUCUAAUUAUCUAUGUACGAUUGUUACAUUCAGCAUUUAUUCAACGAAUGUCUCGUAUCAUGCAUAAUCAAUGACUACUUAUAUAAAUUCCAACACGUACACAUUUGAAUCAGCAACUCGUUGAAACUUUUAAUAUUUAAAAGUGUUAAUAUUUUAAUAUUAUUUCGAGGAAGUCAAGGUUAUGAUUUAAACGUUGCGUUCAAUUUAAAAAUUUAAAUUUAAGAAUUCUGUUAAUAAAAUUAUAAUUAUAAAUUGUAAUGCAUGUUAAAUUAUUAAAAAGAAUUUUUUUUUCUUUUUUUUUUUUUUUAAUAUAUAUUUCUCUUGAUUGCAAGUUUAAUGUAAUUACGAAGUCACGCAAGUUUUGUUGAACCAAUAGAAUUGUUUAAUGCAAUAUAAUUUCAAGAAUUGAAAACAAUGGAAUGAAAUGUAUGUACAAUUUUCACACAAUUUUUUUUGACCCGAUCUUAAUCUUACGAACUAUGAACUCUGGUGUUGAAUAUUUUUCUCGCUUAAUCAAGGAAAUUAAAACGCAAAUAUAUGUUUGUAAAUUGUAAAUGGUUCUCUAUGUAAAGUUUUCACACAGGAUUAAUAUUUCACGAAAUUUUAACCGAUGUUCGUGGAUUAAAUUUUCAUUUAUAUCACCAUCACGCGUUGCAUACAGAUAAAAAUAUUUAUACCUGGAAUAAAACCAUGGAUUAUAUCCUCCACCGCGUUGCAUUUUUCAAUGAAGAUUAAACACGCUUAUACAAAAGAAAAAGAUGAUGCAAUACGUUUAAAUUAAUCCUUGCACAACUCACUUAAAAGAGAUUGCUUAUUCAAAUAAGUAUCGCGAUUUAAAAAAAAAAAAGGAUCAAAUAAUUUAGGAUAAUUUAUUAUAAACAAUAAAUCGAUUUAAUUUCUCAUUAUGCGCAUAAAUAUUAACAAAUAUUGAUAAUUUUAAUAUUUUGAAAUUAAGAAAUAUAAAUAAUUUUUAUCAUAUUUCGUAUAAAUAUCCACCGACUAUCGAUCUUGACAAAACCAAUGUUCCUUCCUGUGAUUACGACCUUAACUUCCGUCAAAAAUGACGUCCAUCGCUACGUCAAUGUUGCCUGAACAUUCGCGUGACCGUACAAUAUAAUGAAUAAAAUAUCCGUUAAUCA
This is a long non-coding RNA of Apis mellifera (honey bee), 2269 nucleotides long. RefSeq lists it as uncharacterized. The transcript has 2 exons. The record is from RefSeq and is a predicted model, not a curated record. Lineage: Eukaryota; Metazoa; Arthropoda; Insecta; Hymenoptera; Apidae.